This 497-nucleotide ribosomal RNA is filed under the name uncultured bacterium. RNAcentral describes it as "partial 16S ribosomal RNA". It matches the Rfam family "Bacterial small subunit ribosomal RNA", at positions 28 to 507 of the family's 1533-position model. The record is from RNAcentral.
GAUGAACGCUGGCGGCGUGCCUAAUACAUGCAAGUCGAGCGAACAGACGAGGAGCUUGCUCCUCUGACGUUAGCGGCGGACGGGUGAGUAACACGUGGAUAACCUACCUAUAAGACUGGGAUAACUUCGGGAAACCGGAGCUAAUACCGGAUAAUAUAUUGAACCGCAUGGUUCAAUAGUGAAAGACGGUUUUGCUUUCACUUAUAGAUGGAUCCGCGCCGCAUUAGCUAGUUGGUAAGGUAACGGCUUACCAAAGCAACGAUGCGUAGCCGACCUGAGAGGGUGAUCGGCCACGCUGGAACUGAGACGCGGUCCAGACUCCUAGGGGAGGCAGCAGUAGGGAAUCUUCCGCAAUGGGCGAAUGCCGGACGGAGCAAAGCCGCGUGAGUGAUGAAGGUCUUCGGAUCGUAAAGCUCUGUUAUUAGGGGAGAACGAAUGUGUAAGUAACUAGGCACGUCUUGACGGUACCUGAUCAGAAAGCCACGGCUAACUACGUG